AAAAAAUUGAUACCGGAAGGAAACUUAAUCUACAGCCGAAGACAACCUAAAACUUAAAGAAACACUUAACCAUAGCUCGGUUCGAACCGAAGGUGAGUGACUUUGAAAUAAAGUCUUGCGGAAAUUCAAGAUGCGGUGUUUGCGGUCAAGAUACAAAAUAUUUAGAAACGGGUAAAAUGAAAUCAUUUAAAGAUGGCAAAAAAUUUCAUGUGAACGCCAAUAUGACUUAUAAGACAACAAAUCUUAUUUACUGUGUCACAUGUCCUGGUUGUCACGAAAAUUAUAUUGGACAGACCGGGAUAGCCUUGUGAACGGGUGCGAGUUCACAAGAACAAAUAAAACACCCACAAUACAGAAAUUCGCCAAUUAAUGCCCAUCUUGACACUUAUGGUAAAAAGCAUUUUCAAAUAAUACCUAUUUUUAAAUGUAGACGGGAUGAAGCAUAUAGAAAAAAGAUGGAACGUUAUUUCAUCGAAAUUAAAUCCAGAGAAUUUUUAAUAAUGAACAAUAAACCUCCUUUACGACGUCGCCUAAAGCGACACUACAUCAGUUAUCCUGAAGAGUCCCAAUGGAAGGAUGAAACUCGAUAGAAUGGAACUGUUAACGUUUUACUUAUUUUAUUGUUUUAUUUAAUGAAUAUAUAUAUAUAUGGUCUAGCGGGAUGGCUACAGUGUAGGCGUUUUGGUGUCACGAUAUCUCAGCAGCAUGGGUUCGAAUCCCGGGAAGGGAAGAAC
Molecule: long non-coding RNA, 734 nt
Filed under: Mytilus galloprovincialis (Mediterranean mussel)
Lineage: Eukaryota; Metazoa; Mollusca; Bivalvia; Mytilida; Mytilidae
Source: RNAcentral